CGGUAUUUAUUUUCACAAACACGUUGUUAAGUGUUGGCAAUUAGCUUUAGACAUAAUAAUAUGUAUUUUUAACUUAUAUAUCGAGUGUACCUCUUCCCACCUUAAUGUAUGGAAAAAUGGUCUCGAUUUGGCAUCUCUAAUAAUAGCAACGCAUAUAACACCGUUCAGCCAGAGAACGUAAAUUCUUCAAAGUUCUCUGAUUGAAUCAUUGUGUUUAAAGGUGAUCAAAGAUGAUUCAGCUUCGAGUUACGCAAUUAAACUUUUUUCGAAAAUUUGAUAGAAUAUGUUUCAAAAGGCAUGCUAUAAUUUGCCAUUUGCUUCGCCUAAAACAACGAAAACAAUAUUGAGGACUGGCUUUAUCAUCAUAAUUUAAUGUAUAAUGGGAAUAAAUGCUUUUCUUUAAAAAUAGUAAAGGAAUAAUUUCACCCAACUAAGGAUGAUAGAAAUGCUAAGGCGAGAUAGUUGUACAAUAUAUUGUCCUGCCUGUUGACGACAUCAAAUAAUAACACCUAUGUAUGUACAAAAAACUAAAUAAAAUUAUUGAGAAAAUAUUUGUUUUUAUUUACAAUAAACCAAGAACUCAAAGCAUUUUCCGAAAAAUAA
Molecule: long non-coding RNA, 603 nt
Organism: Bactrocera oleae (olive fruit fly)
Lineage: Eukaryota; Metazoa; Arthropoda; Insecta; Diptera; Tephritidae
Source: RefSeq, a predicted model, not a curated record